UCUUGGUCAUUUAGAGGAAGUAAAAGUCGUAACAAGGUCUCCGUUGGUGAACCAGCGGAGGGAUCAUUACCGAGUUUACAACUCCCAAACCCCUGUGAACAUACCUAUACGUUGCCUCGGCGGAUCAGCCCGCGCCCCGUAAAAAGGGACGGCCCGCCCGAGGACCCCUAAACUCUGUUUUUAGUGGAACUUCUGAGUAAAACAAACAAAUAAAUCAAAACUUUCAACAACGGAUCUCUUGGUUCUGGCAUCGAUGAAGAACGCAGCCCCCCCGUGCCCCCGCCCCGCCCGCCGCGCGCGGCGGGAU
RNAcentral lists this ribosomal RNA (307 nucleotides) under uncultured fungus. Its description in RNAcentral is "partial 18S ribosomal RNA". The stretch from base 1 to 69 matches the Rfam family "Eukaryotic small subunit ribosomal RNA", at positions 1763 to 1831 of the family's 1831-position model. Lineage: Eukaryota; Fungi. The record is from RNAcentral.